AGUAAAAGUCGUAACAAGGUUUCCGUAGGUGAACCUGCGGAAGGAUCAUUACCGUUGGAGCUUGCUCCAUCUGGGAUAGAACCCUUGAUUUUGAGUACCUUUUCGUUUCCUCGGCGGGUCCGCCCGCCGGUGGACAACCAAAACUCUUUGUAAUAGCAGUAUCUUCUGAAAAAAACAAAUAGUCAAAACUUUCAACAACGGAUCUCUUGGUUCUGGCAUCGAUGAAGAACGCAGCGAAAUGCGAUAAGUAGUGUGAAUUGCAGAAUUCAGUGAAUCAUCGAAUCUUUGAACGCACAUUGCGCCCUUCGGUAUUCCGUUGGGCAUGCCUGUUCGAGCGUCAUUUUAACCUUCAAGCAUAGCUUGGUGUUGGGUGCUUGUCCCCCCUAGUGGCGGACUCACCUCAAAUGCAUUGGCGGCCGGCAUGUUGGCUUCGAGCGCAGUACAACGCGCCUGGUGUCUAGACGUGCUGGUCCUCCACAAGGCCUUCUUUAAUCUUGACCUCGGAUCAGGUAGGGAUACCCGCUGAACUUAAGCAU
Molecule: ribosomal RNA, 536 nt
Filed under: Pleosporales sp. PSU-ES146
Lineage: Eukaryota; Fungi; Ascomycota; Dothideomycetes; Pleosporales
Description: eukaryotic LSU rRNA
Rfam family: 5.8S ribosomal RNA (bases 187-340)
Source: RNAcentral